GUGCUGGCUUCGAAGGCACGUAUAUUCAACUCAGAACAAUACAGAGAAAAUUAGCAUGGCCUUGUUCAAGGGUGACAUGCGAAUUCAUGAAGCAGUCUGCAUUUCU
Sciurus vulgaris (Eurasian red squirrel) is the source of this 106-nucleotide small nuclear RNA. NCBI's taxonomy places the organism in Eukaryota, Metazoa, Chordata, Mammalia, Rodentia, Sciuridae. The record is from Ensembl.